UGGGUUUUAGAGUUCUCUGAUGAUGAUUCCUUGAUGUUCUCCCUUAACAGAAAUACCCAGAAAACCCAGGUAUGAAGGAACAAGAUGAUUUAGCUCAUAGAAAAGUGUAUGUUGCUCAAAAGGGGCUUGUCAAGUAUCUUCAGUGGUUACAGGGGUAUAUGGAUUGCAGUGGAGGAACUGGUGAUUGAUGUUGGCUAGAAAUGGGGAAGAUGCAAGCGCAAUGGCUAUGAAUUCAUAGCAAUUCAACUGGUCUGGUCACUUCUCCCUGCCUUUUCUGUUGUAUGUUUUGAUCAAUUAAUAGUCAUUUUACCACAGUUCUUUGAGACUCGUCAAUUCAGAUUAACAGGUUCCUGGUGAUGAACUAAAAUGGGUCAAAAUCUGCACAGAUGAUGGCCUUGUCGCAGUUGCCUCUUUAAAGAAUUGGACAACCAAACUCAUGCCAAGCGUUUGAUUGGUAGGAGCUUCUGUGACACCGCUGUCCAAGGUGGUAUCAAGAACUGGCCAUUCAAUGUUCUAUCUGGUCCAGCUGACAAUCCCAUGAUUGAGGUCUCAUACAAGGGAGAAGAGAAGCAGUUCGCCGCUAAGGAAAUCUCAUCCAUGGACUUGAUUAAGAUGCAUGAGAUUGUUGAGGCAUACCUUGGUUCUAUAGUUAAGAACUUUGUCGUUACAAUCCCUGCAUACUUCAACGAAUCUCAGCGUCAAGCUAUAAAGGAUGCUAGGUCGUUGCUGGUCUUAAUGUUAUGGGUAUCAUCAAUGAGCCUACGGCUGCUGCCAUUGCCUGACGAUGGAUUAUGAUUUUCUUAUUUUGAUGGAGUUGAUAGUGGUGUCAUUGUGCCAUCUGAGAUUGUACACUCAAUUGACAUUCAUCCUUCGCGAAAGCAUGCCUGCGGCACAAAUACUGAAGAAAAUGUUUAU
Papaver somniferum (opium poppy) is the source of this 915-nucleotide long non-coding RNA. RefSeq lists it as uncharacterized. NCBI's taxonomy places the organism in Eukaryota, Viridiplantae, Streptophyta, Magnoliopsida, Ranunculales, Papaveraceae. The record is from RefSeq and is a predicted model, not a curated record. The transcript has 6 exons.